UUUGCCCUUAGAGUUUGAUCCUGGCUCAGGCACGAACGCUUGUGGCGUGCCUAACACAUGCAAGUCGAACGGAGCUAAGGAAGCUUGCUUCCGGAGCUUAGUGGCGGACGGGUGAGUAAUACGUGAGUAACCUGCCCCUCAGAGAGGAAUAACGUCCGGAAACGGACGCUAAUACCUCAUAACAUAUCGAAGCCGCAUGACUUUGAUAUCAAAGGAGCAAUCCGCUGAGAGAUGGACUCGCGUCUGAUUAGCUGGUUGGCGGGGUAACGGCCCACCAAGGCGACGAUCAGUAGCCGGACUGAGAGGUUGAACGGCCACAUUGGGACUGAGACACGGCCCAGACUCCUACGGGAGGCAGCAGUGGGGGAUAUUGCACAAUGGGGGAAACCCUGAUGCAGCAACGCCGCGUGUGGGAAGAAGGUCUUCGGAUUGUAAACCAUUGUCCUCUGUGACGAUAAUGACGGUAGCAGAGGAGGAAGCCACGGCUAACUACGUGCCAGCAGCCGCGGUAAUACGUAGGUGGCAAGCGUUGUCCGGAUUUACUGGGUGUAAAGGGAGCGUAGGCGGGAGAGCAAGUCAGAAGUGAAAUCCAUCGGCUUAACCGAUGAACUGCUUUUGAAACUGCUUUUCUUGAGUGAAGUAGAGGUAGGCGGAAUCCCGGUGUAGCGGUGAAAUGCGUAGAUAUCGGGAGGAACACCAGUGGCGAAGUCGUCCUACUGGGCUUUACUGACGCUGAGGCUCGAAAGCAUGGGUAGCAAACAGGAUUAGAUACGCUGGUAGCCCAUGCCGUAAACGAUGAUUAAUAGGUGUGGGGGAGAUGACCUAUUCCGUGCCGCAGUUAACACAAUAAGUAAUCCACCUGGGGAGUACGACCGCAAGGAUGAAACUCAAAGGAAUUGACGGGGGACCGCACAAGCAGUGGAGUAUGUGUUUUAAUUCGAAGCAAUGCGAAGAACGUUACCAGGUCUUGACAUCGAGCGCCGUACUCAGAGAUGAGUUCUCUCUUCGGAGCGCGAAGACAGGUGGUGCAUGGUUGUCGUCAGCUCGUGUCGUGAGAUGUUGGGUUAAGUCCCGCAACGAGAGCAACCCUUAUAGCUUAGUUGCUACGCAUAGAGCAUUUUAGAUGAGACGGCCGUUGACAAAACGGAGGAAGGUGGGGAGAGACGUCAAAUUAUCAUGCCCGUUAUGACCUGGGAUACACAAGUAAUACGAUGGCCGUAAACAGAGGGAAGCAAUACUGUGAAGAGGAGCAAACCCCUAUAAACGGUCCCAGUUCAGAAUGCAGGAUGCAACUCGCCUGCACGAAGUUGGAAUUGCUAGUAAUCGCGGAUCAGCAUGCCGCGGAGAAUACGUUCCCGGGCCUUGUACACGCCGCCCGUCA
Molecule: ribosomal RNA, 1381 nt
Filed under: uncultured bacterium
Lineage: Bacteria
Description: 16S ribosomal RNA
Rfam family: Bacterial small subunit ribosomal RNA
Source: RNAcentral